This is a long non-coding RNA of Sarcophilus harrisii (Tasmanian devil), 1483 nucleotides long. RefSeq lists it as uncharacterized. The record is from RefSeq and is a predicted model, not a curated record. Lineage: Eukaryota; Metazoa; Chordata; Mammalia; Dasyuromorphia; Dasyuridae. The transcript has 2 exons.
AGAAAAGAAAAGAAAAAAAAUUUAAAUGAUGAUAAUGAUGAUGCCUUGUCUCAAGAAGGGUUAGAGUUCUCCUUUGAGGAAAUCUUUAAACAGAGGCUGGGUAAUAAUUUGUUAGAGAAACAUCACUGUGGUUUGACUGAUCAAAUUUGGCCACUGCUGGCCUGAUCAGAGAGCUUAAUAUUCACCUAAGGUACGAUGCCCUAAGAUAUGAGUCUACGCUGCAUAUAAAAUCAGUACACCAUGAUUUAAAUUAACAAGUUAGAUGUAGCAUAAGAAACAAACUUGAUAUUGAUCAAUUAUGCCCCUAGCAGAGCAAUCAGAGAGCGUUAUCCUUGAAAAUAAGACUGCUGACCUGGAAGAAUAUGAAACAACACUCCUCCUGAUUUGAUUCCCUCUAAUCUGUCUGAUAACACUAACAAAAUAUGUCAGUUGGAAAGAACUGUGUAACUUAAGCAUAAUAUAAAUAUGUUCAGGAAAGGAGGUGAAAUCUAGCAAAGGAAGAAAGGACAGCACCAAAGAGACGGGCAAAGCAAAGAAAAGUAAGAAGAUAGGACAUUGAAGAGUAUCAGAAAACUCGAAAACUAAAGAGAAGAUCCGGGGUAGCCUAUGCUUGGACAACUGCCCUCACAACUUUUCUCCCUGCCUCAGCCCCCUACAAGGACUCCACAAGACAGGAGCACCAACGUGGUUUAAAGGAAUAUAUCUUGUAUUUUCAUGUUUGUGCUCCAUCCCACAGAGUGAAAAUCAGCCCAUCACCUCCAAACUGUACAGAAUUGGCCUUUGAGAGAAACUAUGCCCCUUCAUAUCUCAAGCCUAAAGGAUCUAAUCUCUAAGUCACUGCCUGGUAGCCUAAGGCUGAUAAUGCUGAACCCAAGGAUAAAAACCAACUUAUGUCUGGUAUCUGACAAAUACAGGAACUACUACGAGCCAUUUGAUUUUUAAGAUUUUUUGGAAAGGCAGUUCAGAAACUCAUUGUGUGUAAAUGUCAGUCCUCCAUAACAUUAGACACUACUCACUAUAUAGGUGUAGCAAUACAGGCCUGAGGCAUCACUCUUUGAGAGUUUUUAGUUCCCUUUCCUUUGAUUCCAGUAAACAUUGAGCUUAGAUUCGAUGGUUUAUGGGUCUAAUAACAGAUGUGCCGCUUCAGAGAGCAGAGGACUAGCCCAUGUAUGGGAAAUAGUACUGGCAGAAUACCUGAGUUGAAAUCUUGACUUCACUACUAUUCCAAGCCUCAGGUAUAUACAAUAAUACUAUCUAUCUGGAAGAAUUGAUUUAAGAACCUAAUGAGGUGAUUAAAUAUUUUAAGUAUUAAGUAUUUUACAGGUAUACCUGUAACACAAACACAAAAAUGAAUCCUAUUAUUAGAUUUGUUCUUUGAGUCAACAAAGUUAAAAGACCUAAUUAUGGAUUCCAGAAGCCAUUCAAUCAUAGUUUUCACCAAUUCUCACCCAACUCAAAUAAGACAUAUUCUUGUUCUCCACAC